CCCAGCAACCGCUCCACCCCCGUAUUCUCUUUCUGUUUCUCUUUUUCCCAUCCCCUCCACAAUUCUCGCCACCACCAGAUCGGAGCUCCUCCGAUCCACCCGCCCCCUUCUCAUCGGCGGGAUCCCGGCUGUCGCCUCACGCACGACCCUCUCCUCCACGGCCCAAUCCGCUCGAACACCGCCGCCCUCCUCACUGGCGAGAUCAGAGCCGCCAGCCUCACCCGCAGGAUCGGAGCCGCCGGCCACCGCCCACCUCGCCCGAAGGAUCGGAUGCCACUACUCUUCUACACCGACCCAUCACCGGCCACCGGUGGUCCAUCACCUGCUUCGCCUGACUGAAAAAUCCCUGCGGUGUUUCGAAGAAGCUGUGGGUGGAAAUUCCGGAACCGCUGCGCCGACGGUGGUGUGAUGCCGGCGAUGGGUCCGCUGGCAAUUCAAUAUGCGAGGAUAUCGCUGCCAACUCGAGGGAAAUGAUUUGGUGAAAUAUUGAUUGCGAGGGUUUGGAACCAAGUAACUACAAAACAAUUGGAGCAAAGAUAUUGAUCUACAGAGGCAGUGAAUGGAACUCUAGAUACUCAGCUUUUGACUCUCACUCGAAAAGUUCAAAAGAAUAAUCUGGCAGUGUCAUCUGCUUUGAGUAGCUCAGGAUGGGUGGUUAGAGGAGAUGGAAGGGAAGGCGCAAGAACAUGAUAAGAAGGAUGUUGCACAACAAGAGAAAAUAAAGGAGCUCCAGAUUGCUGUAGAUAAGAUUAUCAGUUUUUACUGGUGGCUGUUAGAAGCUGUAGACAAGUGAUGCAUUUUUUAUUAGAUUCAAGUGAGAUUAUUCAGAUUAGCAUGAAAAGUGCAAAGGAUCGUGCAAAGCUUUGUUAUCAUUUGAUUAUUUCACUAUAUAUUUUGUUCAGUCUCGAUGUAAGCAUCAGGCCUUAACAGGAAAUUUAAUUUGAUUUA
Aegilops tauschii subsp. strangulata is the source of this 948-nucleotide long non-coding RNA. RefSeq lists it as uncharacterized. Lineage: Eukaryota; Viridiplantae; Streptophyta; Magnoliopsida; Poales; Poaceae. The record is from RefSeq and is a predicted model, not a curated record.